RNAcentral lists this long non-coding RNA (1400 nucleotides) under Orbicella faveolata. RNAcentral's name for it is "uncharacterized LOC110054589, transcript variant X1". Lineage: Eukaryota; Metazoa; Cnidaria; Anthozoa; Scleractinia; Merulinidae. The record is from RNAcentral.
ACGAGUUGCUUUGCUUUGGAAGUCCCACUGUGCAACUUACGUCCCAGCAUGUGUGGUUUUGUACCAUGUGACCGGAUGAUGAAAAGGGCCUAUUGGUCCCCACGCCCUGGAAAGAGUCAAGACUUUGAAUUUCUUUUCAAAGAUUGUCGGAACCGGGAGGCUCGAAAGUUAAGAGAAGAAGACGUUUUGAAGAACUGUGCAAUCUUCUUUUAGAGGCUGAAAGCCCGGUUUCAUACAACAAGCUCAAGGAAGAGUCAGAGAAUAUCGUACGUAUUUUGAACGGGCUUGUAUAGCUCUUAGACGUGACGUGUGUAAAUAAAGUAUUGCAUUGCAUUGCAUUGCAUUGCAUUGCAUUACAAUGUAUUGUAUUGUGUUGUAUUGCGCUGAAGAGGACAACGAUCGAAAGUAUUUACACAGGGGUCAAAUAGUGGCACAAAAGAAGAAACUAUAUAUUUCGAGCAUCUCUACCGUUGCUAAGUACAUGUACUUAAAAAAUGAAACCAGCAUGCACUUUCAUUAUCCAUGGCCACUCGCAAAGAUGACUGGGCCAAUCACAGAGCAGCAAGACUAGGAGUCGUUUCGUGUUUUCUUACACGAGGGUUACCCAGUGAUCUUUGCGAGUGUAGUUCGUCUGCGCCAUUUUGGCACGUGUGCAAGAAAAAUAAUGGAAAAUGAGGUGGAAUGUGGAGACGUGUUUGUUAACCUCUGAGGCCUGUCCAUGUCCCUGGACGAAUUUACAUGCCCGGGGUAGAUGUAAGCUGAGAUGAGAUUUUAACAGAAAACCAAAUGGUUCAUGGCUUUUACAGUUAGUGUGUAGUGCUUAGUUAUCCAGGAAAACAGGUUACAGUACCGAUCAGAAGAAACCUAACAGGGAACGCGUUUGCGAACGGGAACGGAACGGAUACAGAACAGGUAUGAGAACGCGAACAGAAUGGGUACAGAACGGGUACAGAACGGAUACAGAACGGAUACAAAACGGAUACAGAAUGGAUACUGAACAGAAAUGGAAUGGAUACCGAACGGAAAUGGAACGGAUACGGAACGGUUAUGAAUCACAAAAAUGGAAAAAAGCGUUCUCCAGAACGCAAACUAUAUGAGAACGCGUUCUUCAGAACACUUGGUAGUAAGUUACGCUAUCAGAGUGCUUACCGAGGAUUUGGAAAUGAUGUAACUUUAAAUACACGUUCGUUCAAUUUUUGUCCAGCCCGGCGAUCUUGAGAAAAUGACAGAACUAAUCAUCUUAUAUCUUUUUUUAUUUGUUUUUACAUGCACUAAGCAGGCAUCUUCCCUGCAUCUUCUCAUCCAUUUCGAGUUCAUCGCGGCCAUUUUGUUAUUGUCAACAAGCUCAACUUAUGUCCAAAUAAGGAAAUGGAUGGACGAGUCGAGUUAGACUGGGAUUG